This 949-nucleotide ribosomal RNA is filed under the name uncultured organism. RNAcentral describes it as "bacterial SSU rRNA". It matches the Rfam family "Bacterial small subunit ribosomal RNA", at positions 462 to 1427 of the family's 1533-position model. The record is from RNAcentral.
AUGCGGUAUGACGGUACCCUUUCGAAUAAGAGGUUGCUAACUCUGUGCCAGCAGCAGCGGUAAUACAGAGACCUCGAGCGUUAUCCGGAUUUACUGGGCGUAAAGCGUCUGUAGGGGGUUUGUUAAGUUCCAAGUAAAAUCUUAAGGCUCAACUUUAAGUUCGCUUGGAAAACUAAUAAACUGGAGUCCAGCAGAGGUGCAUGGAACUUGCGGUGUAGGAGUGAAAUCCGUUGAUAUCGCAAGGAACACCAAAGGCGAAGGCAUUGCACUGGGCUGGUACUGACCCUGAGAGACGAAAGCGUGGGGAGCAAAACGGAUUAGAUACCCGUGUAGUCCACGCCGUAAACGAUGGAUACUAGAUGUUCGGGGAUUCGACCCCCUGGGUGUCACAGCUGACGCGUUAAGUAUCCCGCCUGGGAAGUACGGCCGCAAGGCUAAAACUCAAAGGAAUAGACGGGGAUCCGCACAAGCGGUGGAGCGUCUGGUUUAAUUUGAUAGUAAGCAAUGGACCUCACCAAGGUUUGACAUCCUAUGACAACCCUGGAAACAGGGCUUCCUUCGGGCAUAGUGACAGGUGCUGCAUGGUCGUCGUCAGUUCGUGCCGUGAGGUGUUCCGUUAAGUCGGGAAACGAACGAAACCCUCGUCGCAUGUUACAAAUUUCAUGCGAGACUGCCCGGGUCAACCGGGAGGAAGGCGGGGAUGACGUCAGAUCAGCAUGGCCCUUAUACCUUGGGCUACACAGGCGCUACAAUGGCCGGUACAAAGGGUUGCAAAACCGCGAGGUGAAGCUAAUCCCAUAAAGCCGGUCCAAGUUCGGAUUGGAGGCUGCAACUCGCCUCCAUGAAGUUGGAAUCGCUAGUAAUCGUGGAUCAGCCAUACCACGGUGAUACGUUCCCGGAUCUUGUACUCACCGCCCGUCACACCAAGAGAGUUGGUAGCUCCUGAAGC